Amblyraja radiata (thorny skate) is the source of this 4497-nucleotide long non-coding RNA. RefSeq lists it as uncharacterized. The transcript is spliced from 2 exons. The record is from RefSeq and is a predicted model, not a curated record. Lineage: Eukaryota; Metazoa; Chordata; Chondrichthyes; Rajiformes; Rajidae.
GUGCAGACUUUGAAAGGGUGUGUGGUGGUCUAUUUCUUGCUGUUUAAUACGGAGGCUGAUCGUCGAUAUUCUGAUUACAUUGGAACUUCAUUUGAUCAAUACUCUAAUGCAGCGUUUCUCAAUCUUUUUACCCUUGCGGAAACCUUGAAAGAAUUUUUAUGUCUCCGGGAACCCCUGAGCUGGGGGUUGCCGGGCCCGUCGGCGUUUUGAGAUUGCCAUUUUGACUCGCGUCAUAAUGGUGAUCUCUGGCGUCAACGGGGACCCGUCGGCCGUGCCUGCGCAGUUGGGGGAGGAUUGCCAGGCCGGGAUUGCCAUUUUAACAUCCAGCGUUAUGUAUAAGUGAUUGCUACUGGGGGAAUAUUGUGUUGGGGAGGGGGACCCAACGGGUCCACGCUUGGUCUAGUUCAGGGCCGUGAAACUAAUUUUAGGUCACGGACCAGAUAGGGCAAAGUUCGACUUCACGCGGGCUGGAUCAGAGCGCACGUGCUCCCACAGCUUUUGUUGCUUUCAUUUUUUCAACCUGCUCUCAUGUGUCUCAGUCUCUGUUAUAACUACAAAGUGUUUCACUUUACGAAUUUUGUUUCUUUUGAAGAAGAUUGCCUAGCAAGCAUUACUUUUAUAAUUGGUAUUAACUUGCAGUUGUAGGCUACAAGAAAUUUGUGAUGAGAGAGAGAAAAAACAAUGCUAUUUUGGCUAAUAAUUUGAAAUCGAACAUUAGCAGACACAAAUGUAGACCUAACGAAACAACUAGGUCUAUUUCUCCGCCACCAUUUUAGCGCUGUUAUCCAAGAGAGACUCCGAGGUUGUGGCCUCUCCCAGUCAGUGCGGGUUUCUGGAACGAUCGGGAGACUGGGAAGGGCCUUGAACAGAGACGCUUUGCGGUCGGCUGAGCUCUCUCCUCCGCCAUGAGAGAAAAGUACCCACAGUGCAAUGUUGGGGGUUUUUCCUGACGGCAUUCGAACCCAGCACCCAGCCGCUCCGUACUGCGCAACCUAACCCCGCUCAGCACCCACCCCUGCCUUGUCAUUGGCACAGCUGACUACCCAGAGGGUAGUCCCUUCUAUUGGGCCAGCCUGGUGGCAGUCACGUGGGAUGACGCCCAGCCCGUUUGUUCUGAAUCUCGCCGCGUUCAGACCUGCCCCCCAAGUAGCAUUUGCGGUUUGAUUGGUCGGGUUGGGUGUCAGUCAAGGAGUCGUCACAAUGCUGGCAGCGCGCAGCCGCGGCUUCUCACACCAUAUAAGGAGCGGGCGGCUGACUAAGGAGGUGGGUCACGCGCACGAGCAGCGGCUCAGGAGAAGCCCAGAUGCCCCGGAACUGGGGACAUCUGCAGCCCGAUCUGGUAGCGGGCCAGAUUGUAGCGUUGUUACAAAUUCCUGCCAUCAGUGACACUCCAGUUCUGCCCUCUGCCUGUGCAUACGACUCGAGGGGGGGUGAUUAAAAUGCAGAGUUUUAUUGUUUGUCAGAGAGUGAUUUCCACGUACGACAAGCUUAUUGAAGAAAUGUUCUGUCAUCCCGUUCGCGAUUUUAAAAAAAACAAAAAAAAACGUUGCAUGACUAUUGAAUCGCUGGAUGAAAAUCGGGCCCAACCUCAACGCCUUCAAAAUCACGGAUCGCAAGACAGGACAAAUCAAAGAUGCCUUCGAAGAAGAAACACAAAAUUGUCAGUCCAAAUGCCCAGCUUGGCAUAGCUAGAGCUCACCUUGAAGUGAAUUUCUGUCAUGCCCGAGUCUAAGAGGGAUCUUAAAAAUGGACACAUCUUGUACUUGUAUACCUCGUUUGGAAAAAGUCGGUCUGAAACAGUCGGCUGAGUUCACAUUGUUCUUUGUCGGAUGCAGAAGGCUAUUCAGUUGUUACUCAAGGGUGAGGACUCUCGUUAACCGGACUUUGCUCAAGUUUAAAAAGCUCAACAAUCCCAAGAAAAUUUACGGAAAUUUGUGAUGAAACUUUUAAACUUCUAGAAGGCAGUCAUCACAUUUCUUUGGAUGAUAUUCCACUGCCUGAUGCUCACGAUCCUGAAUCCUUGACGUCUGCCGAAAGCCAAGUGCCCAUAUUUCAAGACACUGAGGACAUUGGCGAUGACAGUUAUCGUCUGCAUCCUCCACUGAAUCUAGCAACGCCAACGACAGCUGCUGCCUCUCCUGAACCAAUGCCAUUGACAUCUAGUGUUUCUCACAAGAUGUAGCAGAGAACUUGUAAGUCUUUCACCAAGGAAACAUAAAAAAUGAAGACAAGACUAAACUUUCUGUCCAUCUCCAAGAUCGCUCUUGCACUAAAGUAUCGCACAAAGAUCAGUGAACUUAGGGCACAGUUGAAAACUCCCAAACAUGUAGUUAAUCAGACCUUAAAGAGAAAACAAAACCAAAUAGAUUUGAUGGACAGAAAGAUUCAGGAACAAAACCAAAUUACGUGGGAAUACUUUGGCAUGAGAGCUUGCUGAAACCAAGGCAGAGUUUUUGAACACAGACAAUUGGGAAGAGGAUGUAAGACGCCUCAAAUUUGACAAUCUUGGCCUCAAAGAAACAAUCGAAACUCUGGAGGCUGCCAGUAUUGUCAAGUCAAAGGUGGACCAGAAGACUUAUUCCUCAAUGACAAGGAUGCAUGUGUUUGACUGUAUUGUAAACAAAACUCCCACAGCAAACAUUUCAAUCCUGAUACGCCAGUUGCACAAGUGGUGUGGACUUGAUCUGGAUAGUGUUCCUCAACGCAGUGCAGUUGAAGUUAUGGCCCGAGAAUUGGGAGCUGUUGCUGAGUUAUACAGCAGAGAUGAUCUUAGCAACAAAUGAUUUGACUUGGUUUUGAUGUAACCGUCCAAGAAGAGACCCAUAUUAACAGUGUACACUUCACCACCACAAAUUAAUGUCUUUCUGCAGCAGUCGAUGAAUUGGCUGGUGGGACUGCUGAGGGCCAUGCGCAACAUAUUUGCGAUACUGUUGACAAUUUGUGUGAAAUUUACACUUAUUUCAAUGAGCAGCGGAUUUCCAAGACACCAGGCAAACGAUGAUAGACAACAUUACAAAUACACUGAGUGAUGGGUGUGCAGCUAAUCAUGCUGGUAUUAGGAUUGUUAACAGUGAGUGGGGUAAAUCUUUGAAUGAGCUCUACUGCCAUUUGCAUCCACUUGACUCCAUCGUAGCGCCAGUUCGCUCAGCCCUCAAAAAGCACAAACAAUCCAGAGGCAAAGUCUUGUUUGGGAAGGACUGUCUAGCAGGAAAUGUCAUACUGCAGAUGAAAUGUCAUGAUGCAGAUGGAAAAGGUGACCCAAAAGGAUUUGUUGUAUUUUUGGAUGAAGGGAACAUCCCCUGCGGUGUCCUCCCACGGUACCGUGGCAACAGAUUACAUAUACUUUCCAUAUUAGUGGCAAGCUCAUAGAACAUUAUGAUGACUUUGUUGCCUUGCUGAAUAGCGGAAGCUCCUGUGGGGGGGGGUUGAGAAGCGCCAUCCUCACCCAGGCUGCAGCAAAAGUAGAACUUCAGAUAUUGGGCUUACUUGGCAAAUAUCUGACUGGUCUUUGGAUGAAGCCCUUCUACACUUCAAGCCAGAAUCAGAUCAACCAUGUUGAUGGCAUCAAAGUGGUUAAAGGGGUGAUUGCUGCUCUAAAGAAAGCCACACAAAAUCCAGAGAACUUGAUAUUGGCAAGGGAAGAUUUCUUCGGGGAGGAGGUGCAUCUUGAUGCCAUGUUGACAAAACUUCAGGAGCUACCAGUACAUCUACAGUUCAGUUUAAUGAUGAGCAGCUGUCUUCAAGCUGUCAUCACUGUUGGAAAGGCAAUAUAGUAAAUACUUUGAACUUGAUGUAACUGAGAAACUGAAGGAGGAGACUGCAUCAGCAAGAUCACACAACAUUGAUGUGGAGGAGAUAAUGGGGUUGUUUAGCUCAUCGAAACUGAAAUGUCCCAAUGCCCGCAUGUGCUAUUUGUCAUGUAGGAUGCGGGCCUGCAAGAAUAGAACAAUCAACUUCCUUGAUAAUCUCGAGGAGCAACGUAGGGAGGAGGUGCUCUGUAAGGCAGUGAAAUGGGGGAGAGUGCAGAGGAACAGAUGGAAGAAAAAACGGAAGGAAUUGAGAGCAGAAAUCAUCAAGAGACAGAAAGACAAGGAGCAUGCUCGGGACACGAAAGAGGAAAAGAAUAGGGGGGAAAAGAGACGUGAUUUAUACAGCAUUAGCAGAGAUUAUCUGAAUUUGGACUACUACAAAUGUGAGGAUCUCCAGGACAUUCUUAAUGGGAAAGUAGUGAGCAGAAAAACAUGUCAUGCAUGGUUUGAAGAGCAAAAACUUGUAGUUUACAAUGCCAAAAUUGAAGUUGAGGAAAAACAAGGUGUACAGAGUUGCUUAUUAUUUGCAGUCUGAGGAUUAUGAUAAUGCUACUGAUUAUGAUAUGCCAAUGUACCUGCUAGCAGCUGAUGUUCUCCAUGAAGACUUGGCCUUUUGCUAGAAAUUGUAAUUUCUUUACCUGUCUGUUACGGAUUUACAGCAUAUAAUACAAUAAUAUUAAAGUUCUGA